GCCUCCUUGGCUCAGUUGGUUAGAGCGCCAGUCUCAUACUGUUACAGCAUGAUCCCAGUUUCUGGGACUUAAUCUGGAGGUCACAAGUUCGAACCUUGUAGGGGGCA
Armillaria borealis is the source of this 107-nucleotide non-coding RNA. NCBI's taxonomy places the organism in Eukaryota, Fungi, Basidiomycota, Agaricomycetes, Agaricales, Physalacriaceae. The record is from the annotation of a GenBank genome assembly.